UCCUAGUCUCCUCAUUAUUUUCAUGGACAGGCAGUUCCUCCUGUCUUGCAGCACUUCUCAGCCCCUUUUUAACAUUCCCUUUUCUAUCCUUUACAUACAGGUGCUGUUUUGCUCCACUGCCACAAUUAAAAUCCCCUAGACAGAGGCAGUACAAAGGUGCUCUUUGCUCUCUUGUUCCUCAAAGCAUGGACAUCAAGAACUGGAUCCCAGCCCACUGACAUCAAUGGGAGCCCUUCCAUUCACCUCAUGAAGUCUGUGCCAGGUCAAGGAAGAACACAGAUGAGAGAAGGCAAUUUGGCUGUCACAUUUUCCUUUCAUCAAGAGCUUUACACAGAAAAAAACUCUUUUUAAUGUAACUUCUGCUGCUGAGUUGGAGAUUUUUGUCCCUGUGAAGUGAAUUUCCACUAAUAACUACAGAGGUUUUCAGGAUGGGUCUGAGAAUGGAGCAAAGAACUAGAGUUACAUGGGACAUCUGAGGAGCCAAAACAUGGUUCUAAGGGCAUGACUCUGGAGCUAUCAGCUUUCUAAGGAGGAAAUGUACUGAGUGACAGAGCCAUCUGAAGUGUUCAGGUUGUUUGCAAUAUGGAUGCUGGAGAAUAAGCAAAAUCACCCAUGAAAGGAGCCAUGAAGUUUGUGGUGGAAGCCAGAAUUAGAGCCAAUUCCAGAGAUGAGCAAUAUUCCCACCUUGGUUCACAGCUCUCGUGCUACAAGCAUGGUCUACAAAAGCAAAGGUUGGUCUCUCCAAUGCCAGCAGAUGAAAGGACAUUCAGUUCUGCUCUGAGCAGCAUUUUCAUUUCCUCUGGGUCUUGUGGAGCUCCUGCCGUUGACCAACUCACUCUGCAGCCAUGCCUCCUCAUCUUUCGGCAUCUCAGACACCCACAGAAUAUUUGGAAGAAGGCUGAAAAUGAGAGACAAAUUCCAAUACUGAGGACACCAAGCAGUGCAGCACUUUGA
RNAcentral lists this long non-coding RNA (954 nucleotides) under Zonotrichia albicollis (white-throated sparrow). RNAcentral's name for it is "lncRNA (ENSZALG00000013522.1)". The record is from RNAcentral. Lineage: Eukaryota; Metazoa; Chordata; Aves; Passeriformes; Passerellidae.